This 641-nucleotide ribosomal RNA is filed under the name Delftia sp. XTT-1. Its description in RNAcentral is "bacterial SSU rRNA". It matches the Rfam family "Bacterial small subunit ribosomal RNA", at positions 91 to 728 of the family's 1533-position model. The record is from RNAcentral. Lineage: Bacteria; Pseudomonadati; Pseudomonadota; Betaproteobacteria; Burkholderiales; Comamonadaceae.
ACGAGUGGCGAACGGGUGAGUAAUACAUCGGAACGUGCCCAGUCGUGGGGGAUAACUACUCGAAAGAGUAGCUAAUACCGCAUACGAUCUGAGGAUGAAAGCGGGGGACCUUCGGGCCUCGCGCGAUUGGAGCGGCCGAUGGCAGAUUAGGUAGUUGGUGGGAUAAAAGCUUACCAAGCCGACGAUCUGUAGCUGGUCUGAGAGGACGACCAGCCACACUGGGACUGAGACACGGCCCAGACUCCUACGGGAGGCAGCAGUGGGGAAUUUUGGACAAUGGGCGAAAGCCUGAUCCAGCAAUGCCGCGUGCAGGAUGAAGGCCUUCGGGUUGUAAACUGCUUUUGUACGGAACGAAAAAGCUCCUUCUAAUACAGGGGGCCCAUGACGGUACCGUAAGAAUAAGCACCGGCUAACUACGUGCCAGCAGCCGCGGUAAUACGUAGGGUGCGAGCGUUAAUCGGAAUUACUGGGCGUAAAGCGUGCGCAGGCGGUUAUGUAAGACAGAUGUGAAAUCCCCGGGCUCAACCUGGGAACUGCAUUUGUGACUGCAUGGCUAGAGUACGGUAGAGGGGGAUGGAAUUCCGCGUGUAGCAGUGAAAUGCGUAGAUAUGCGGAGGAACACCGAUGGCGAAGGCAAUCCC